Molecule: ribosomal RNA, 486 nt
Filed under: uncultured bacterium
Lineage: Bacteria
Description: bacterial SSU rRNA
Rfam family: Bacterial small subunit ribosomal RNA
Source: RNAcentral
CUCAGGAUGAACGCUGGCGGCGUGCUUAACACAUGCAAGUCGAACGAAGCAACUGUGAUUGAGACUUCGGUGGAUUGAUCAGUUGACUUAGUGGCGGACGGGUGAGUAACGCGUGGGUAACCUGCCUCAUACAGGGGGAUAACAGUUAGAAAUGACUGCUAAUACCGCAUAAGCGCACAGAGCUGCAUGGCUCAGUGUGAAAAACUCCGGUGGUAUGAGAUGGACCCGCGUCUGAUUAGCUAGUUGGUAAGGUAACGGCUUACCAAGGCGACGAUCAGUAGCCGGACUGAGAGGUUGACCGGCCACAUUGGGACUGAGAUACGGCCCAGACUCCUACGGGAGGCAGCAGUGGGGAAUAUUGGGCAAUGGGCGCAAGCCUGACCCAGCAACGCCGCGUGAAGGAAGAAGGCUUUCGGGUUGUAAACUUCUUUUGUCGAGGAAGAGUAGAAGACUGUACUCGGCGAAUAAGCCACGGCUAACUACGUG